GUAGUCUCGCACAGAUGCAUAUCAAUAAGCGGAGGAAAAGAAACUAGCAAGGAUUCCCUUAGUAACGGCGAGUGAAGCGGGAAGAGCUCAAAUUUGAAAUCUUCAAGGUUUUACCUUGACGAAUUGUAGUUUAAAGAAGUGUUUUCUGUUGAAGUUUAGGUAAAAGUUCUUUGGAAUAGGACAUCAUAGAGGGUGAGAAUCCCGUAUUUGACCAUUAUUUUCAGCUGUGUGAUACACUUUCAAAGAGUCGGAUUGUUUGGGAAUGCAGUCCAAAAUGGGUGGUAAAUUUCAUCUAAAGCUAAAUAUUGGCGAGAGACCGAUAGCGAACAAGUACCGUGAGGGAAAGAUGAAAAGAACUUUGAAAAGAGAGUUAAACAGUACGUGAAAUUGUCAAAAGGGAAGCGUUUGACACCAGUGUUGUUUUCUCGAAAAUCAAUUAAAAAGAGUUAGAUUUUGUUGUGUAUUGACCUUAACAGCUUGCAUUUCAAUUUUCUUGCUUUUUUUAAUGCACUUUUCGUUUAACAAGUCAACAUCAGUUUCUUUUGUUGUAAAAAGGUCAUUGGAAGGUGGCUUUCUUUUCGGAGAAAGUGUUUAUAGCCUUUGACUCCUGCAAUCGGAGAGACUGAGGUCUGCAGCGUAGAUCCUUCGGGGUUAGAUACAUUUGUGCUAAGUUAUAGCUUUUUAUAGACAACUUGUUGACUAUGAUUAGUCUUGUAGCUUACUCGCUUAUACUAUUUACCUACGCUUAGGAUGUUGAGCGCAUGUCUCUCUCU
Molecule: ribosomal RNA, 773 nt
Filed under: uncultured Neocallimastigales
Lineage: Eukaryota; Fungi; Neocallimastigomycota; Neocallimastigomycetes; Neocallimastigales
Description: partial large subunit ribosomal RNA
Rfam family: Eukaryotic large subunit ribosomal RNA
Source: RNAcentral